Long non-coding RNA from Callithrix jacchus (white-tufted-ear marmoset), 1607 nucleotides. The record is from Ensembl. Lineage: Eukaryota; Metazoa; Chordata; Mammalia; Primates; Cebidae.
GACAUUAGUAAAAAUAAGUCUCACGGCUAGACAAACUGUCAUAUACAAGCAUGAACUGGUAUCCAGAACAUAAUAUUUAAAUAAUGUUUCUGAAGACUGCACACAGUUUUGUUCAAUUUAUGUAAAGCUCAAACACCUGCAAAACUAAACAGGAUAAACUCUAUAGAUACAAUUAGGUUAAAAAAAUAUGACGAGGCUGGGCUCUGUGGCUCUUGCCUAUAACCCCAACACUUUGGGAGGCUGAGGUGGGUGGACCACUUGAGGCCGGGAAUUGCAGAUCAGUCUAGCCAACACGGCAAAAUCUUGUCUCUACUAAAAAUAUAAAAGCUAGCCAGGCAUGCUGUGACACACCAGUAAUCCCAGCUGAGGCAUGAGAAUUGCUUGAACCCAGGAGGCGGAGUUUGCAGUGAGCUGAGAUCAUACAACUGCACUUCAACUUGGGCGACAGAGCAAGACUCUGUGUCAAAAAAAAAAAAACCCUUAAAAAACAAAGCAAAAAAAGCCCAAACCAAAGCAAACCAAAAACAAAACAAAACAAAAACCCAACUAUGAUGAUAAACAAGUAAAACAGCAACCACACAAAACCUUUGUGGAGAAGAGAGAAAAGGGGAUAAAGGAAGACCACAUAGAGAAUUUCAAAGAUACUAAAUUUAUCUAGAGCAGACUUUGGCUCCAAACUCAGAACAGAUGGAGAGAGACAUGCUGUCUAAGAAAAGCAGAAAUGACAAAAUUGCAUUCCGGUUUGAAUGUUCUUCAUUAAGAGUGUUUAUUGUGUUAAUGCUGUGACUACAUCAUCCUACUCCAAGGAAGAGAAGAAUUUCCCAAGGGGAGAAAAGACAAGAAACCAGACUUCCCUUUCAAAGAGUUAGCUUCACACAGACUAGAGUCAUGGAGAAAUGGGAUUGAAAAUGAAACGCAUCUUUGACAAAAGGGAAGGGAAAGAGCAAGGGAGCAAGGCUGCUCUUUCUGGGAAGACGAGGAAUAGGAAAACAUUGCCUAAGUGUUUUACUGAACAGAACUUCUGCCCCUGCAUAACUAAAAUGUGACAACACCCUUUCAGAUGGUCUCUGCUUCACUACAAACCACCUGGAUACUCUACUCACUAUCCUAAAUGCAUUUAACAUCACAACACAUUAGCAAGUAAUGAUGUUUUAAUGAGAUUUUAUAUAGGAAGAGAAUAGGAAUAUUUCACUAUGUACCCAAGUGAAAACAUAAUAUGCUUCCUCCAGAUUAUGGUGGUUUUUUGUUUCAAGUUCACUAGCCAUCUCAUUUCUCCUUCUUCCUCCCUCAUGUGUAAUCUAAAAUUGUUUUUCUGGUUCUGAAUAAUUCUGCUCUGAUCUCACCUUAUAUUCUCCAAUGAAGUGAUAGACAGGCUCAUCAAUUGUCACUUCAUCUGGGAGCAUCAACGGUCACUUAAGAGUGGCUAUUGGAUCUCUGAUAUCCUACUCUAGAUGGCUUAUCAAAAUUUCUGUUUAACAGAAAUAGCUUCUUCCUGUGUGGGGACUUAAAUUGGCUUAGAGAAAGUGAUUGCUAAGGAAAAAGUUUCAUGUACUUUUCUAUGUAUGUUUGCAUAUGUGUGUGUAUGUGUGUAUAUACACACAAGUGAU